RNAcentral lists this ribosomal RNA (376 nucleotides) under uncultured bacterium. RNAcentral describes it as "bacterial SSU rRNA". It matches the Rfam family "Bacterial small subunit ribosomal RNA", at positions 524 to 898 of the family's 1533-position model. The record is from RNAcentral.
UACGUAGGGGGCUAGCGUUGUCCGGAUUUAUUGGGCGUAAAGAGCGUGUAGGCGGCCAUGUAGGUCCGGUGUGAAAACUCGAGGCUUAACCUCGAGAUGUCAUCGGAAACCAUUUGGCUAGAGUCCGGAAGAGGAGAGUGGAAUUCCUGGUGUAGCGGUGAAAUGCGCAGAUAUCAGGAAGAACACCAAUGGCGAAAGCAGCUCUCUGGGACGGUACUGACGCUGAGACGCGAAAGCGUGGGGAGCGAACAGGAUUAGAUACCCUGGUAGUCCACGCCGUAAACGAUGGGCGCUAGGUGUGGGCGGUGUCGACUCCGUCCGUGCCGAAGCUAACGCAUUAAGCGCCCCGCCUGGGGAGUACGGCCGCAAGGCUAAA